UACGUAGGGACCAAGCGUUGUUCGGAUUUACUGGGCGUAAAGGGCGCGUAGGCGGCAAAUCAAGUCAGCUGUGAAAUCUCCGAGCUUAACUCGGAACGGUCAGCUGAUACUGUUUUGCUAGAGUACAGAAGGGGCAAUCGGAAUUCUUGGUGUAGCGGUGAAAUGCGUAGAUAUCUGGAGGAACACCGGUGGCGAAGGCGGCAUCCUGGACCGGCAUUGACGCUGAGGCGCGAAAGCUAGGGGAGCAAACGGG
Molecule: ribosomal RNA, 253 nt
Filed under: uncultured bacterium
Lineage: Bacteria
Description: partial 16S ribosomal RNA
Rfam family: Bacterial small subunit ribosomal RNA
Source: RNAcentral